Molecule: non-coding RNA, 326 nt
Organism: Paramuricea clavata
Lineage: Eukaryota; Metazoa; Cnidaria; Anthozoa; Malacalcyonacea; Plexauridae
Source: the annotation of a GenBank genome assembly
UGGAGUAUGAGUAAUAUCUUCAUUCUUUGCAGUUUGUCACAGAUUAAAUGAUAAAGUUUGUAUGAUUUUGAAAAAAGAAUGAUUAUUAGCAAAUUAUUGGGGGGGCUGCAGCCCCCCAGCCCCCCCGGUUGCUACGGCCCUGUCAUGAGAGGCAUUCACCCCCUGAAAAUAUUCAAAAUGGCGGACGUUCAGGGGGGAUGGCGACAGCAUUUUGAUGACGAAUCAUGGAGUGCAGUUCAUAGAUAUCUUAUAUACACUAGAUAGUGCAUCUAAUUAUUCUGCAAUUCAAAAAUUGAAGCCGUGAUUGCAGACUCAGGAUAUUCCCA